GACGGGGGGGGCAAGUGUUCUUCGGAAUGACUGGGCGUCAAGGGCACGUAGGCGGUGAAUCGGGUUGAAAGUGAAAGUCGCCAAAAAGUGGCGGAAUGCUCUCGAAGCCAAUUCACUUGAGUGGGACAGAGGAGAGUGGAAUUUCGUGUGUAGGGGUGAAAUCCGUAGAUCUACGAAGGAAGGCCAAAAGCGAAGGCAGCUCUCUGGGUCCCUACCGACGCUGGGGUGCGAAAGCAUGGGGAGCGAACAGG
RNAcentral lists this ribosomal RNA (251 nucleotides) under uncultured bacterium. Its description in RNAcentral is "partial 16S ribosomal RNA". It matches the Rfam family "Bacterial small subunit ribosomal RNA", at positions 524 to 776 of the family's 1533-position model. The record is from RNAcentral.